UACUAGAGUAGCACUCGCAUAUCAAUAAGCGGAGGAAAAGAAACUAACAAGGAUUCCCCUAGUAACGGCGAGUGAAGCGGGAAGAGCUCAAAUUUGAAAUCUUAAAGGGUUUCCCUUUACGAAUUGUAGUUUAAAGAAGUGUUUUCUGUUGAGGUUUUGGUAAAAGUUCUUUGGAAUAGGACAUCAUAGAGGGUGAGAAUCCCGUAUUUGACCUUUACUUUCAACUUUGUGAUACACUUUCAAAGAGUCGGAUUGUUUGGGAAUGCAGUCCAAAAUGGGUGGUAAAUUUCAUCUAAAGCUAAAUAUUGGCGAGAGACCGAUAGCGAACAAGUACCGUGAGGGAAAGAUGAAGAGAACUUUGAAAAGAGAGUUAAACAGUACGUGAAAUUGUCAAAAGGGAAGCGUUUGACACCAGUGUUGUUUUUCUGAAAAUCAAUUAAAGAACUGUUUAUGCUAAGUUGUUUAGACUUUAUCAGCUAACUGUUUAGUUUUGAGCUUUUCUUUAAUGCACUUUUCAGUUAACAAGUCAACAUCAAUUUCUUUUGCUGUAAAAAAGCUUGAGGAAGGUGGCUUGAGAUUCGUCUUAAGUGUUUACAGCCUCUUGCCUAUGCAGUCGGAGAGAUUGAGGUCUGCAGCGUAGAUCCUUCGGGGCUAAAUGCAUUUGUGCUAAGUUAUAGCAUUUUAUAGACAACUUGUUGACUAUGAUUUGUCUUGUAGCUUACUCGCUUAUGUUAUUUUACCUACGCUUAGGAUGUUGAGCGCAUGUCUCUCUCU
RNAcentral lists this ribosomal RNA (774 nucleotides) under uncultured Neocallimastigales. RNAcentral's name for it is "partial large subunit ribosomal RNA". It matches the Rfam family "Eukaryotic large subunit ribosomal RNA", at positions 20 to 616 of the family's 3401-position model. Lineage: Eukaryota; Fungi; Neocallimastigomycota; Neocallimastigomycetes; Neocallimastigales. The record is from RNAcentral.